AACCGGAUUAGAUACCCUGGUAGUCCAUGCCGUAAACGAUGUCUACUAGCCGUUGGGGCCUUUGAGGCUUUAGUGGCGCAGCUAACGCGAUAAAUAGACCGCCUGGGGAGUACGGUCGCAAGACUAAAACUCAAAUGAAUUGACGGGGGCCCGCACAAGCGGUGGAGCAUGUGGUUUAAUUCGAUGCAACGCGAAGAACCUUACCUGGCCUUGACAUACUAAGAACUUUCCAGAGAUGGAUUGGUGCCUUCGGGAACUUAGAUACAGGUGCUGCAUGGCUGUCGUCAGCUCGUGUCGUGAGAUGUUGGGUUAAGUCCCGCAACGAGCGCAACCCUUUUCCUUAUUUGCCAGCGGGUCAUGCCGGGAACUUUAAGGAUACUGCCAGUGACAAACUGGUGGAAGGCGGGGACGACGUCAAGUCAUCAUGGCCCUUACGGCCAGGGCUACACACGUGCUACAAUGGUCGGUACAAAGGGUUGCUACCUCGCGAGAGGAUGCUAAUCUCAAAAAGCCGAUCGUAGUCCGGAUCGCAGUCUGCAACUCGACUGCGUGAAGUCGGAAUCGCUAGUAAUCGCGGAUCAGAAUGCCGCGGUGAAUACGUUCCCGGGCCUUGUACACACCGCCCGUCACACCAUGGGAGUUUGUUGCACCAGAAGUAGGUAGUCUAACCGCAAGGAGGACGCUUACCACGGUGUGGCCGAUGACUGGGGUGAAGUCGUAACAAGGUAACCGUA
Molecule: ribosomal RNA, 734 nt
Filed under: Acinetobacter sp. FyFern_58
Lineage: Bacteria; Pseudomonadati; Pseudomonadota; Gammaproteobacteria; Moraxellales; Moraxellaceae
Description: bacterial SSU rRNA
Rfam family: Bacterial small subunit ribosomal RNA
Source: RNAcentral